AAAUAAGGAGUAGAAAAACCCUACCUCCUGAACCCCUCUCACACAUCUUCGCUCUCUCCUGAAUCCCUCUCACACAUCUUCGCUCUCUCCUGAACCCCUCUCAUGCGAACCUUGUCUCACGCCCUCUCUAUCCAACUCCUCAUCUCACACCCUCUCCAUCCAACUCCUCUCCUGCAAUCUCCUCCCUCACCACCGCCUCAUUCCAUCUCCUAACCCUCGGAGUUCUACCUGCUUCCUAGGGUUUGAAAUGGGCUAACUCGAGUAACUCUGGCACAAAAGCAAAGGAAGAUCUUUCUUUUGCAACACAUGCUAUUCAGUUCACACAAGCAGAGUACUCUCAAGAAGAAAUUGAUGAGGUGCAUUCAGGGUUUGCAAAAUGUAUACAAGAUCAUAUUUAUGAGUAGGGUUACUGUAAUCAUGAUCAGGUUCCAAUAACUCAAGCUUCAAUGUUGGUUUCAACUAUUAAGUAGUUUUGUACUAUUUUGUAGUUUUGUGCAACGUACUGCCUGAAAUCCAAAUUUAUCUCAUUUGUAUCUUAAUCUAGAUUUUCUAAUUACUGUAUGGUGUGAACUGUGACCCUUGUUUUCAGCUUUAAGAGUGAAAAUUUCUUUUACAAAAUAUUGAUGGUAUCACUUUCUGUGGCAGAUACACAAUGGUAGAUGUUUUAUCCCAAUCUCAAGUCGUCAAUUCUUUUUUAGUGUAGCUAGUAGAAGUAAGCAGAUCGUUACCUUCGAGGUCGGCUAGCUAUUUUAUGCUCUUUUGUUUUAAAUUUAAAUGUCAGUAUCUACUUUGAAAUGGAACUAUUUAGUCUUUGAAAUUAUUAACUGAAUUCUACUUUGUAGCUGAA
Zingiber officinale is the source of this 847-nucleotide long non-coding RNA. RefSeq lists it as uncharacterized. The transcript is spliced from 4 exons. NCBI's taxonomy places the organism in Eukaryota, Viridiplantae, Streptophyta, Magnoliopsida, Zingiberales, Zingiberaceae. The record is from RefSeq and is a predicted model, not a curated record.